RNAcentral lists this ribosomal RNA (467 nucleotides) under uncultured bacterium. RNAcentral's name for it is "partial 16S ribosomal RNA". It matches the Rfam family "Bacterial small subunit ribosomal RNA", at positions 28 to 507 of the family's 1533-position model. The record is from RNAcentral.
GACGAACGCUGGCGGCGCGCUUAACACAUGCAAGUCGAACGGAAAGGCUCCAGCUUGCUGGAGUACUCGAGUGGCGAACGGGUGAGUAACACGUGGGUAAUCUGCCCUGCACUCUGGGAUAAGCCUGGGAAGCUGGGUCUAAUACUGGAUAUGACCUUUCUCCUUAUGGGGUUUGGUGGAAAGUUUUUCGGUGUAGGAUGAGCCCGCGGCCUAUCAGCUUGUUGGUGGGGUGAUGGCCUACCAAGGCGACGACGGGUAGCCGGCCUGAGAGGGUGAUCGGCCACAUUGGGACUGAGAUACGGCCCAGACUCCUACGGGAGGCAGCAGUGGGGAAUAUUGCACAAUGGGCGGAAGCCUGAUGCAGCGACGCCGCGUGAGGGAUGACGGCCUUCGGGUUGUAAACCUCUUUCAGCAGGGACGAAGCGUAAGUGACGGUACCUGCAGAAGAAGCACCGGCUAACUAUGUG